UUUUGAUAAAUCUCCCCCAUUAACUCUUAUUACACUAAAAAGACAUGGUUUUAUUCACGGGUGUGUGCCUGAAGUUCAAAACUACAACUUCCACCAUGCCCGGACAGCCGACGGCUGUCCGGGCAUGCUGGGAGUUGUAGUUUUGCAACAUCUGGGGGCACCCUGGUUGGGAAACACUGGAUCACCCUGAUGCUGAAGACUUUACUACUAUAAAGAAUAUAAAAUGGUUAUCCGCAUAGUGCUGCGGUUUGUUUACUUUGCACACUGCUUAUACAAGAGCUUCACAGCAUGAGGUACGAGGAGAUAAUGUGACUGGCCCCCGGCUACAACACUUGAUUCAAGGUGGAGUCUCAAGAAGCAUGAAGACUAUUCACUUUCCGUCCACACUGACUGCAGGUUUGGCCGCUUCCACCAGCAAGGUCUUUGUGUCAGAUGACUUAGGGCAAUGUAGUCUGGAGCCAUUGAUCUCACCACCCAGGCAGAUAGAAUGAAAAGCUGAACACCUGUUACAUCUCCUGAGAGAAAACAAGACUGGCUUCCAUCAGAUUGCUAAUGUUACCUAAUUGCUUACAGUGUAUUACACCUCCCAUUACACCUCACUGGCUUUACUUGACAAUUGAAUACACAGUUUUGUUCCUGGUUUUAAAAAUUAUUCUCAACAACGUCACUCUAGGACAUAAGAUAUUUGUUAUUGUUGAAUAUGUAGAGAUAAACCCUAUGGGUGCAAAACCACUUUGCCCCAAGCCCCACCCUACCCACUAGCACUGCCAUGUGCAUGCAUAACAUUCUGAACAUAGAUUCCAUGAUUGCUGUGUCUUCUACAACCCAAUUGCAUGUUAAAUGACGUCUUCUUUAUCAUUCCAUUAAAGAAUACCUGUCAAUGAAAUAAACUUUUGACA
Hyla sarda is the source of this 899-nucleotide long non-coding RNA. RefSeq lists it as uncharacterized. Lineage: Eukaryota; Metazoa; Chordata; Amphibia; Anura; Hylidae. The transcript has 3 exons. The record is from RefSeq and is a predicted model, not a curated record.